CACGGCGGUCAUAGCGGCGGGGUCACACCCGGUCUCGUUUCGAUCCCGGAAGUUAAGCCCGCCAGCGAUCCCGGUUGUACUGCCCUCCGAGAGGGGG
This 97-nucleotide ribosomal RNA is filed under the name Thermococcus paralvinellae. Lineage: Archaea; Methanobacteriati; Methanobacteriota; Thermococci; Thermococcales; Thermococcaceae. The record is from RNAcentral.